Molecule: long non-coding RNA, 4469 nt
Organism: Anguilla rostrata (American eel)
Lineage: Eukaryota; Metazoa; Chordata; Actinopteri; Anguilliformes; Anguillidae
Exons: 3
Source: RefSeq, a predicted model, not a curated record
CAAUUCUUUCAUUAAAAAAAAAAAAAGUUAGGUUUUGCGACAAAACUCAAUUUUUCAGUUUUGGCACAAAGGGGAGGAAGAAAAGCACUUGACUCAAUGACCUGAUGCAAUCACCUUGGUGUGUAGGCUGUGUACAGAUGCAGGGUCAACUUUGAAUCUCCUGCUGUAAAACAUAUGCAUGCAGAUCACCCACUGUUUGUGGUGUAGACAGCCAAUAGGAAAGCACGUCCCAGGCAGCAGUUUGGGGUGUGAUAUAUCCUAGGGGCCUGAAGGGUAGUUGAGAUGACAUGCUUAAACCAACCUCCAAGAUCCAAGCUGAGAAACCUACCAGCCAGGCCUGUGCUUUUGUACCAAGUGAAAUCUGUGGGGGAGACUUACAGCUCAUAAUUAACCCUGCACAAAUCAAUGGAAGUGGGCAUUCAGACACUUUGCACUGACUGCAGCUAAUGUGUAAAGCAAGCUGAGGGAAUUCAAUAAUGCAGUCUUCUCGCUGAUUGAAUCUCCUUGGAGUGACAGAAAGUGAUGUUAAGUCACUGAAGUAGGCAAGAACACUCGAGUAAUAUACUGUAAAUUUGUGUUUUUUAACUAGUUGUCUCGCCCAGUGGCUGUCAAACUCGGUCCUGGCAGACUUUUAUGUGCACUGGUUUUCUUCCAACCCAUCUCUUACACAAUUAAAGUUGUGUUUAAGUUCUUAAACUUAAGACAAUGCAGGUUUGACUUGCUAUAGCUUGCUUUGUCUUGCAUUAUCUCCAAAAUAGUGGCCAUGUGUCCAAACUUUCUCCAUAAUUAUGAGCCUAUUGAUUCACUUCAGUCUCUAAAACUUUUUUAGGAUACAAAAAAAAAAAAAAGCACAAACUUGAGACAUAAAGAAGCAGGCUCCAAUGGCAAUACAAUACAAGAUUACUCAAAGAACUCAAAGAACGAUUAUUUAUAAGAGGUACGUUUAUACAUUCUCUAAAAUCUUGAGAAAUACCAGGUGCAUGGAAGCGAGGCAGUAUGAAAGGGGUCUGGACCAGUAUGAAACUACAGCCUUUGUAGUUUUACUUCUUAACCUCAUUUAAAAUUGUGGAAUCUAUCAUCAACUGGUAUUAAUGCCAUACAGCUUGGUUGGUUACUAGUUUGAAAUGUAAAAGGUACAAGGAAAGACCUAUUUAAUUGUUGUAGACCAUAAUUCAAUGCCUUGUCCUUGCUAUUGUAAAGCCAGCAGCAGGUCAUUAAAAUAUCUUAAAUAUCCAGAAUAUGCUAAAUUGCACCCUGAACUGUCUGGGCCAAUUGAAAACAUGCACACCAAAAAAUAAUAAAUAAAUAAAUAAAUAAAUAAAUAAUGAAGCAAUCCCACUUAAAAUGCACUUUUUCAAGCUGCUUAUACUAGUGUCUGCCAAAUUACUCAAUGUAAAUUGGAAAUUGAGCUCUGUCAGUAGAAUAAGUUAGCAUACGUGGAAAAAGUCAUCCCACACAAACACUUGACACAUUGAUAUCCAGGCUUUAUGCAAAUGGCAAGCUUAGAUUACAUCAAAUUAUAAGACAUGAUGCAAGCAAUUGUCUCAGACAUUGGCCAUUUAAAUAAUGUAAUUAGGUGAUAUUUUAUCUCUUUAUAAAUUAUUCAUUUACUGCACUGAAAACUAGGUGUGGCAGUAGGUGUGGGCAUAUGGAAGGUGAUGAACAGCAUAGGGAAGUUCAGCACCAUGGAUAGCUACCGAGCGCUCAGAAGCCAAUGCACCUGCCCCAGGUCUCAGGCGGUCCAUGAGAUUACAUUACAUUACAGGCAUUUAGCAGAUGCUCUUAUUCAGAUCGACUUACACAACUUUUUGCAUAGUAUUGACAUUGCAUCAAUUUAUAUAGCUGAAUACAUAUUGAAGCAAUGCAGGUUAAGUACCUUGCUCAAGGGUACAACAAGGGUGUCCUACCUGGGAAUCGAACCUGUUACAUUAGGCUAGCACCUCUGCUAGUCUUUGGCAAAAAGCAAUGAUAGAGACUUAAGUUAGCAUUGGUCCUACUCAUUGAUGUGAAUCAUUAGUGGGAUACAGGUACCUUGUUUUUAAAGUGAUAGUUCACCCAAAAUCGUAAAUAAAAAUCAUACCUCUCAAUUCAGUGAACUGUGCAUCCAAAUGCCUUUUUUCAGAGAAUUAACUGCUUAUAAAUGAUGCCAGCCAGAAGUUAGGGUUAGGAUCUGACAGACUCAAAAAUGCUAGCUAACUAAAAUUACCUCCAUGUAAUUUGUAAUCAGGUUACUUAGCCAUUGUGUUUUUCUGGAAGCAUUCUGGAAACAUGUUGUACAUAUACCUUAAUGUUAUUAUUUACCGCAUAAUUUGUGGUAAAUAAUAACAUUACAAGACCAUUGAGAGUUGUUAUUUAAAUCAAUUUGGAUAUAGUGUGCUUUCAGCAUAAUACUUUUUCUAAGGUACUGUUUUAACACGGCCAUCGAACCCCAGUCCUGAAGAGCUGCUCCUGAAGGGUCUGCUUGACCUGCCAUUGGCAUAUACAGCUCAUUAAAUAUUUUAGCCAAGUCACUAAGGGCACACACACACUGGCUCUCCAGAAAUUGAAAUUCUCAAGUCUCUGAUUAGUCUGGGAGUCCACACACAUCUUGUUUCCAAUGCCUGAACUGAUUGAAAGGUGCAAAAUCAUAGCACUAAAAAGGUACUAUAGUGGAAUCCAGAUUUUGUCAGCAUUUAUUUUUCGGCAUUAUCAUAUAGAACAUUUAUAAAUGAGAAUAUUUAUCAAUGAAGCAUGAGAUGAUAAACACAUUUAAACAUGACUAAUGCAACAACAAAAAAGUCCCAUGUUUCCACAUUACUGUACAUACGGGUGCCAGAAACGUGAUUGCAAUGAUGAAUGUAUCAUUGCUAGAGGAUUUCUCAUAGUUCAUAAUUUAUAAACUAUAGUGUAUUUUCUGAGAGUAAUCUUCCGCUAUGUAUUUUUUUUCCGUUUGUAUUUUUUCCAUUCUACACACAAUGAAGCAACUCGCAUUUCAAGAUGAACAGAUUUACACCCUGUCCAGCUGUACUGAUCUGUACCAUUGUCCCAUUUCCAUCCAAAACUCCAAACUCUGUUCAAUGUCCCAUUUCGCACUUUCAGAAUGGUCUCAUAGAUCUAAAAUAGUCUGGCUUUGAGGCUGCUCAGUCAACUACGACUCCCUACUUUCACUGAAGCCCUUAAAAUUGCCAGAGCUGCUUUCCUCUCCUCUUUUCUCACUCUCCUAGGUCUGUCCACUGCAUUUGACAUCUUGAACCACAAAACCUUCCUCUCUACCUUAUCUGAGCGGGGCAUCUCUGGAUCCUGAUUUGCAACCUACCUGUAGAGGCAUUUCUACACAGUGACAUAGAGAGGAUCGGUGGCAACGCACAUCUCUAGAACACAUACGUAUAUGUUUGGCAUACGUCUCACCUUGGACGUCUGCCCAGCACUUCAAGAUACACCGUAACGAGACAGCGGAGCUCUCCCUUCCAUGAAAGACUUCUCCAUUGCUGUAAAAACCACUGUGCUGUCUGGAUGGGGGCAUCGACAGAAUGACUAAACUAAUAAAGACCGAAAUAUGAUCUGAAUGAAUUUCCAAAAUGUGUGACAUUAAAAUGGAUGCAUAUUGGGAGAUAAAUCUGCAGCAGGCCUAUGGGGACAGAUCUGGAUCCUUCAGGGUCCUUCAGCUCCAGACUGAAAGUCUGGGUCCACUCGUAUAUGACAGCUGACGAUAGCCAUGGUUACACAUCAUCCAAUGGAAGCAUGCGGCAAUGGCAAUCCACUGAUGGACAAGCCUGAAGAUACUUAUAAUCCCUGAAUGUGAAGCCACGGGAAUAUACUGAAACCAUCAUUUUUUUGUACUGUAUUUUCAGGCAAUGAUUGCAUAAUUUAACUAAAUAUAAUGGCUUAAAAAAUAAGGUAUUGGCUAUAAUGUUUUAAAAUAUUAUUAUUAUCAUUAUUGCUAAUAAUAACACUACUACUACUACUACUACUACUACUAAUAUUAUUCUAAAACAACAUCAACAACAACAAUAAUAAUCUUCUCAGAUGCUCUCAGCUGCAAGACUAUUUUCUUCUCGAUUCUCUUUACUACUAGGAUCAAAUGGAGAAGCAUAUGAAUCUUUCAGCGAUUACAUAUAUCCUGUGGGGCUCUGGCCUGUGUAUGCAGAAAUGGCCUCAGGAACCCUGUCCAACUUAAAAUCAGCCACCCAUGUCCCGUAUGAAUAUCUCUUGGUUAUAGGCAGCAGAUGACACCGUUCUUGAAUGUGAUUUAAAUUCAUGUAUAUGGUUUUAUCUUCUCAAACAUUGUUUGUAAAAUAAUUACACUAUGCAUGACAGUCAUUUCUUAUGAAGGUGGAGAGGGAGGGAGAUAAUGUGUCAUAGAAAAUUAAAAGAACAAGGCAAAAGCCUUUCUUCAGCUCAGUUCCGUUUUAUAUAUAUAACACUGAUAUGCUUUACAGGAAAUAUGAAAAGUGGAGCAAGACUGAACCUGGCACAAGAAAGUGAUUUUU